Molecule: ribosomal RNA, 497 nt
Filed under: uncultured bacterium
Lineage: Bacteria
Description: partial 16S ribosomal RNA
Rfam family: Bacterial small subunit ribosomal RNA
Source: RNAcentral
GAUGAACGCUGGCGGCGUGCCUAAUACAUGCAGGUCGAGCGAACGGACGAGAAGCUUGCUUUUCUGAUGUUAGCGGCGGACGGGUGAGUAACACGUGGAUAACCUACCUAUAAGACUGGGAUAACUUCGGGAAACCGGAGCUAAUACCGGAUAGUAUUUUGAACCGCAUGGUUCAAAAGUGAAAGACGGUCUUGCUGUCACUUAUAGAUGGAUCCGCGCUGCAUUAGCUAGUUGGUAAGGUAACGGCUUACCAAGGCAACGAUGCAUAGCCGACCUGAGAGGGUGAUCGGCCACACUGGAACUGAGACACGGUCCAGACUCCUACGGGAGGCAGCAGUAGGGAAUCUUCCGCAAUGGGCGAAAGCCUGACGGAGCAACGCCGCGUGAGUGAUGAAGGUCUUCGGAUCGUAAAACUCUGUUAUUAGGGAAGAACAUAUGUGUAAGUAACUGUGCACAUCUUGACGGUACCUAAUCAGAAAGCCACGGCUAACUACGUG